CCUACGGGAGGCAGCAGUGGGGAAUAUUGCACAAUGGGCGAAACCCUGAUGCAGCGACGCCGCGUGAAGGAAGAAGUAUUUCGGUAUGGAAACUCCUAUCUGCAGGGAAGAAAAGGACGGUACCUGACUAAGAACCCCCGGCUAACUACGUGCCAGCAGCCGCGGUCAUAAGUAGGGGGCAAGCGUUAUCCGGAUUUACUGGGGGUUAAGGGAGCGUAGGCGGGUUAGCAAGUUAGAAGUGAAAGCCCGGGGGUCAACUCCGGGACUGCUUUUGAAACUGUUGAACUAGAGUGCAGGAGAGGUAAGUGGAAUGCCUAGUGUAGCGGUGAAAUGCGUAGAUAUUAGGCGGAACACCAGUGGCGAAGGCAGCCUACUGGACUGUAAAUGACGCUGAGGCUCGAAAGCGUGGGGAGCAAACAGGAUUAGAUACCCUUGUAGUC
This 440-nucleotide ribosomal RNA is filed under the name uncultured bacterium. Its description in RNAcentral is "partial 16S ribosomal RNA". It matches the Rfam family "Bacterial small subunit ribosomal RNA", at positions 338 to 795 of the family's 1533-position model. The record is from RNAcentral.